This 289-nucleotide ribosomal RNA is filed under the name uncultured Novosphingobium sp. Its description in RNAcentral is "partial 16S ribosomal RNA". The record is from RNAcentral. Lineage: Bacteria; Pseudomonadati; Pseudomonadota; Alphaproteobacteria; Sphingomonadales; Sphingomonadaceae.
CUACUAGGGUAUCUAAUCCUGUUUGCUCCCCACGCUUUCGCACCUCAGCGUCAAUACUUGUCCAGUCAGUCGCCUUCGCCACUGGUGUUCUUCCGAAUAUCUACGAAUUUCACCUCUACACUCGGAAUUCCACUGACCUCUCCAAGAUUCUAGCUACCUAGUUUCGAGGGCAGUUCCGGGGUUGAGCCCCGGGCUUUCACCCCCGACUUGAAUAGCCGCCUACGUGCGCUUUACGCCCAGUAAUUCCGAACAACGCUAGCUCCCUCCGUAUUACCGCGGCUGCUGGCAC